Gossypium arboreum is the source of this 919-nucleotide long non-coding RNA. RefSeq lists it as uncharacterized. The transcript is spliced from 2 exons. Lineage: Eukaryota; Viridiplantae; Streptophyta; Magnoliopsida; Malvales; Malvaceae. The record is from RefSeq and is a predicted model, not a curated record.
GGGGCUCGAACUGGAAAUAAUCCAGGCCUCAAAAUGCUACGUCUGAGCGCGGAUCAGAUUGCAACAUAGCACAAUUACAAGUCCAAAUUGAAAAAAAAAGAAGCAAGGCGCAUAAGGCGCAAUCGAAGGCUCGCGCAAAUAUGGAGGACCUGGCGCGCAAAUUCCCCGUUUUAAGCAAAUGGGCGUGGAUCUGGCCUACUAAACGGGUCAGUGCACGGAUCCUUGCCCAUUGAACGGUGCCGUUUCAAUUUUGACAAAGUCAGGUUAAAGAAAACCCUAAAACUAGUUGUACACCAUUCAAAGGCAGAUCAAAAUAAUAAAAAAAAUCUAAGGCCUAGCCUCCUAUUCAUUCGGCCAAACUCUAGGUCCUUUCGACUGCCGUCUGACCUUGAUAUUUGAUCGAUGGUCAUCAUGCAAAAGGCCUAAUCCGGCUCCGUCCGACCGUGAGUCCAAAGGUUCGCUCAAAAGCCUCUAAAUCCCCCCUCCAAAACUCCGAUUGCGACGAAGUGAGCGAGGAUUCGAGGGAACCAAAAACAGAGGUAUGGGGUGUGCGUUGGCGUGUACGGGAGCUGGUGCGUCGUACGGUGCGAGGGGGUGGCUGUUGGAGGGUACGGAGGCUGGGGCUGCUAUCCGGUUGUGGCGCAACUGCUGCUAGGGCUAGGGUUUGCCAAAAUUUGGUUUAGUAUUUGGGCCGUUUGGGCUUGUAAUAAGUUUGGGCUAGGGCAUUGGUUUGGGUAUUGGGUUAGGGUAUUAGUUAUUGGGCCAUGUAAUGGGGACAUUUUAAUGGCCCAUUCAAUUAAUUUAUAUUUGGUUUAUUUUUAUUUAUUUUGGUUUUUUGGGUGUUGGGCCCAGGCAAAUUUGGCCCAUUACAAUAUGAUUUACAAAAUAAGUUAUAUAAAAUUACUUUUUUAUAAAAUAA